ACAGGAAGACCCGCUCUAACCAUGGGCAGCACUGUGAAAGGAACUGGGGUCCCAGAACAAAGAGGAGAAGUGAGGUGAGCCCAGCGUUCAUCUCUCUUUGUUGUGUCAUGAGCCUCUGCUCAAGCUCCUGCCAUGGAGCUUUCCCCAGUGUGACGAACUGAAUGCCUAACUCCUCUAGGUCCCUCGAAGCACACAGCAUCCUGAGUGAGUGACUCACGAAGUCCCAAAGACAGCAUUGACCCACUGAUCCUUUAUCUGCUCUGUCAAACCAGCCCCUCACUGACCCUGCACACCUGUCAUCCAGCAAGCUCUGGGGACCACCCUGUAAACAGCAUCCUAACUAGUCACCUGACUCAUCCUCUGUUCUGCAAACCUGGGGAUCUGAGGGCACCAGCAGCAUUCACACAAAGUGGUGAGCCUGGGCUCUGCUCUCAGGAGCUGCAAGUCUCAGGUGCCUUCACCUCCCUUCAUCUGCACUGCCCUCACUGCAGUGAGUAGACCAGACCGGCCUCGGCCCCGCCCACUCGGAUCCCUGCGGGCUCCGCCCCCCGCUGCUCUCUUCCUUCCCCUCUAUCCUUCCAUCCUCUCUUCACCUUCUGGCAUUUUCCACUCAGACAUUGACCUUUGCGUUGACACAGUCAGUCAAUAUGUGAAACCCUUGCUUUUCUCAACCUAAAAUAAAUCCAUAAUUAAUUCAUUAA
This 701-nucleotide long non-coding RNA is filed under the name Mus pahari (shrew mouse). Its description in RNAcentral is "lncRNA (MGP_PahariEiJ_G0003552.1)". Lineage: Eukaryota; Metazoa; Chordata; Mammalia; Rodentia; Muridae. The record is from RNAcentral.